GAUGAACGCUGGCGGCGUGCCUAAUACAUGCAAGUCGAGCGAACAGACGAGGAGCUUGCUCCUUUGACGUUAGCGGCGGACGGGUGAGUAACACGUGGAUAACCUACCUAUAAGACUGGGAUAACUUCGGGAAACCGGAGCUAAUACCGGAUAACAUGUUGAACCGCAUGGUUCAACAGUGAAAGACGGUCUUGCUGUCACUUAUAGAUGGAUCCGCGCCGCAUUAGCUAGUUGGUAAGGUAACGGCUUACCAAGGCAACGAUGCGUAGCCGACCUGAGAGGGUGAUCGGCCACACUGGAACUGAGACACGGUCCAGACUCCUACGGGAGGCAGCAGUAGGGAAUCUUCCGCAAUGGGCGAAAGCCUGACGGAGCAACGCCGCGUGAGUGAAGAAGGUCUUCGGAUCGUAAAACUCUGUUAUUAGGGAAGAACAAAUGUGUAAGUAACUAUGCACGUCUUGACGAUACCUAAUCAGAAAGCCACGGCUAACUACGUG
Molecule: ribosomal RNA, 497 nt
Filed under: uncultured bacterium
Lineage: Bacteria
Description: partial 16S ribosomal RNA
Rfam family: Bacterial small subunit ribosomal RNA
Source: RNAcentral